RNAcentral lists this ribosomal RNA (460 nucleotides) under uncultured bacterium. RNAcentral's name for it is "partial 16S ribosomal RNA". It matches the Rfam family "Bacterial small subunit ribosomal RNA", at positions 338 to 795 of the family's 1533-position model. The record is from RNAcentral.
CCUACGGGGUGCAGCAGUGAGGAAUAUUGGUCAAUGGACGAGAGUCUGAACCAGCCAAGUAGCGUGAAGGAUGACUGCCCUAUGGGUUGUAAACUUCUUUUAUAAAGGAAUAAAACGAGGCAAGUGUGCCUUUUUGCAUGUACUUUAUGAAUAAGGAUCGGCUAACUCCGUGCCAGCAGCCGCGGUAAUACGGAGGAUCCGAGCGUUAUCCGGAUUUAUUGGGUUUAAAGGGAGCGUAGAUGGGUUGUUAAGUCAGUUGUGAAAGUUUGCGGCUCAACCGUAAAAUUGCAAUUGAUACUGGCAGUCUAGAGUACAGUUGAGGUAGGUGGAAUUCGUGGUGUAGCGGUGAAAUGCUUAGAUAUCACGAAGAACCCCGAUUGCGAAGGCAGCUUACUAAACUGUGACUGACAUUGAUGCUCGAAAGUGUGGGUAUCAAACAGGAUUAGAUACCCCAGUAGUC